Molecule: unclassified non-coding RNA, 466 nt
Filed under: Hevea brasiliensis (rubber tree)
Lineage: Eukaryota; Viridiplantae; Streptophyta; Magnoliopsida; Malpighiales; Euphorbiaceae
Source: RNAcentral
AGUCAACAGCUUUUGGAUAAGGUUUUGUAGGAUUUUAACUUGGGCCGAGGGCUUGAGGCAAUCCUCAGGAAUGUUAAAGGGUAAUGGCAGAAAGUCAGAGAACUUUGGUAAUCAGAAAGCUAUUUAGAUUCUCUAGCCUAAAAGAGAAAAACCUCAAAGAGAUAAGUAUGUGUAAAUCAACCCAUGUAGAUCAAGAUAGAGCCUUCUUGAGAUCCAAAUAAUGAUGGAGGCUUCAUUAAUGAAUCACCCUGAGCUCUGCUAGAUACACAGCACUUUGUUUUUUCUCAUAAGGCGUGAUAAUUUAGGUUCAUGGUAGGGACUGUGGAUUGGUGUUUCUAAAACAUUGCAUCAGUCCUUAUCUUUUAACUUCCAUUCCACUUGUUUUAUAUUACUGUCCUAAUGCCUACAUGCAUAAGAGUAAGAGAAAAAUGUUAUUCUCUGCAGGCUUUUUUCAUGUGGAACAAGU